RNAcentral lists this ribosomal RNA (123 nucleotides) under Salmonella enterica subsp. enterica serovar Hadar. Its description in RNAcentral is "partial 23S ribosomal RNA". The stretch from base 1 to 106 matches the Rfam family "Bacterial large subunit ribosomal RNA", at positions 2820 to 2925 of the family's 2925-position model. Lineage: Bacteria; Pseudomonadati; Pseudomonadota; Gammaproteobacteria; Enterobacterales; Enterobacteriaceae. The record is from RNAcentral.
AGGUCUCCUGAAGGAACGUUGAAGACGACGACGUUGAUAGGCCGGAUGUGUAAGCGCAGCGAUGCGUUGAGCUAACCGGUACUAAUGAACCGUGAGGCUUAACCUUACAACGCCGAAGCUGUU